Molecule: transfer RNA, 76 nt
Filed under: Radula patens
Lineage: Eukaryota; Viridiplantae; Streptophyta; Jungermanniopsida; Radulales; Radulaceae
Description: partial tRNA-Phe
Rfam family: tRNA (bases 1-67)
About the family: Transfer RNA (tRNA) molecules are approximately 80 nucleotides in length. Their secondary structure includes four short double-helical elements and three loops (D, anti-codon, and T loops).
Source: RNAcentral
GCCGGAAUAGCUCAGUUGGUAGAGCAGGGGACUGAAAAUCCUCGUGUCACCAGUUCAAAUACUGGCCGUCGUUUUA